Molecule: ribosomal RNA, 468 nt
Filed under: uncultured bacterium
Lineage: Bacteria
Description: partial 16S ribosomal RNA
Rfam family: Bacterial small subunit ribosomal RNA
Source: RNAcentral
GACGAACGCUGGCGGCGUGCUUAACACAUGCAAGUCGAACGGAAAGGCCCUGCUUUUGUGGGGUGCUCGAGUGGCGAACGGGUGAGUAACACGUGAGUAACCUGCCCUUGACUUUGGGAUAACUUCAGGAAACUGGGGCUAAUACCGGAUAGGAGCUCCUGCUGCAUGGUGGGGGUUGGAAAGUUUCGGCGGUUGGGGAUGGACUCGCGGCUUAUCAGCUUGUUGGUGGGGUAGUGGCUUACCAAGGCUUUGACGGGUAGCCGGCCUGAGAGGGUGACCGGCCACAUUGGUACUGCGAUACGCCCCAGACUCCUACGGGAGGCAGCAGUGGGGAAUAUUGCACAAUGGGCGGAAGCCUGAUGCAGCAACGCCGCGUGCGGGAUGACGGCCUUCGGGUUGUAAACCGCUUUCGCCUGUGACGAAGCGUGAGUGACGGUAAUGGGUAAAGAAGCACCGGCUAACUACGUG